GUUUUAAUAGUUUAAUAAAAAUAUUGAUUUUGUAAAUCAAAAAUAAACCAUGUUUUUAAAACA
RNAcentral lists this transfer RNA (63 nucleotides) under Passalidae sp. GENSP01. Its description in RNAcentral is "tRNA-Thr". The record is from RNAcentral. Lineage: Eukaryota; Metazoa; Arthropoda; Insecta; Coleoptera; Passalidae.